AGAGUUUGAUCAUGGCUCAGGACGAACGCUGGCGGCGUGCUUAACACAUGCAAGUCGAACGGAAAGGCCCUUCGGGGUACUCGAGUGGCGAACGGGUGAGUAACACGUGGGUGAUCUGCCCUGCACUUUGGGAUAAGCCUGGGAAACUGGGUCUAAUACCGAAUAGGACCGCGCUCUUCAUGGGGUGUGGUGGAAAGCUUUUGCGGUGUGGGAUGGGCCCGCGGCCUAUCAGCUUGUUGGUGGGGUAAUGGCCUACCAAGGCGACGACGGGUAGCCGGCCUGAGAGGGUGACCGGCCACACUGGGACUGAGAUACGGCCCAGACUCCUACGGGAGGCAGCAGUGGGGAAUAUUGCACAAUGGGCGCAAGCCUGAUGCAGCGACGCCGCGUGAGGGAUGACGGCCUUCGGGUUGUAAACCUCUUUCAAUAGGGACGAAGCGCAAGUGACGGUACCUAUAGAAGAAGGACCGGCCAACUACGUGCCAGCAGCCGCGGUAAUACGUAGGGUCCGAGCGUUGUCCGGAAUUACUGGGCGUAAAGAGCUCGUAGGUGGUUUGUCGCGUUGUUCGUGAAAACUCACAGCUUAACUGUGGGCGUGCGGGCGAUACGGGCAGACUAGAGUACUGCAGGGGAGACUGGAAUUCCUGGUGUAGCGGUGGAAUGCGCAGAUAUCAGGAGGAACACCGGUGGCGAAGGCGGGUCUCUGGGCAGUAACUGACGCUGAGGAGCGAAAGCGUGGGUAGCGAACAGGAUUAGAUACCCUGGUAGUCCAA
RNAcentral lists this ribosomal RNA (773 nucleotides) under uncultured bacterium. Its description in RNAcentral is "bacterial SSU rRNA". It matches the Rfam family "Bacterial small subunit ribosomal RNA", at positions 8 to 798 of the family's 1533-position model. The record is from RNAcentral.